AUACGAGGGGUGCAAGCGUUAAUCGGAAUUACUGGGCGUAAAGCGUUCGUAGGCGGUUUGUUAAGCAAGAUGUGAAAGUCCAGGGCUCAACCUUGGAACUGCAUUUUGAACUGGCAGACUAGAGUAUUGUAGAGGGUGGUGGAAUUUCCAGUGUAGCGGUGAAAUGCGUAGAGAUUGGAAGGAACAUCAGUGGCGAAGGCGGCCACCUGGACAAAUACUGACGCUGAGGAACGAAAGCGUGGGGAGCGAACAGGAUUAGAUACCCGGGUAGUCC
RNAcentral lists this ribosomal RNA (274 nucleotides) under uncultured bacterium. Its description in RNAcentral is "partial 16S ribosomal RNA". It matches the Rfam family "Bacterial small subunit ribosomal RNA", at positions 523 to 796 of the family's 1533-position model. The record is from RNAcentral.